Molecule: non-coding RNA, 81 nt
Organism: Mus musculus (house mouse)
Lineage: Eukaryota; Metazoa; Chordata; Mammalia; Rodentia; Muridae
Source: Rfam
UGUGCAUUUUAGCCAAGUGCUCAGAUGCUUGUGGUGGCUGCUUAUGCACCACGAAUGCUUGAGCAUGUGCUAUGGUACCUA